This 356-nucleotide unclassified non-coding RNA is filed under the name uncultured fungus. RNAcentral describes it as "partial contains 5.8S ribosomal RNA, internal transcribed spacer 2, and large subunit ribosomal RNA". The record is from RNAcentral. Lineage: Eukaryota; Fungi.
AACGCAUAUUGCGCUCUUUGGUAUUCUGAAGAGCAUGCUUGUUUGAGUAUCAGUUAACACCUCAAGUCCACAAGGUUUUUUCUUUGAGGAUUUGGAUUUGAGUGAUCCUAACAAUAUUUUUUUGGCAGGUCACUUGAAAUGCAGGUGCAGCUGAACAGUCUUCUGAGCUAAAAGCAUAUUUAUUUAGUCCUUGCUUUUUUACUAAAGCCGGAUUAUUACUUUGCUGCAGCUAACAUAAAGGUUGAUUGUUCAAAUGCUGACUGAUGCAGGAAUUUAACAGUUUGGAAAUUUGCGCAAGUAAAAGAAAAACUGUGAAUCUCGAUCUCAAAUCAAGUAAGACUACCCGCUGAACUUAA